RNAcentral lists this ribosomal RNA (361 nucleotides) under Pseudomonas sp. LGI5G. Its description in RNAcentral is "bacterial SSU rRNA". It matches the Rfam family "Bacterial small subunit ribosomal RNA", at positions 1008 to 1369 of the family's 1533-position model. The record is from RNAcentral. Lineage: Bacteria; Pseudomonadati; Pseudomonadota; Gammaproteobacteria; Pseudomonadales; Pseudomonadaceae.
GGAUGGUUAGCUUCGGGAACAUGAGACAGGCGCUGCAUGUCUGUCGUCAGCUCGUGUCGUGAGAUGUUGGGUUAAGUCCCGUAAACGAGCGCAACCCUNGUCCUUAGUUACCAGCACGUUAUGGUGGGCACUCUAAGGAGACUGCCGGUGACAAACCGGAGGAAGGUGGGGAUGACGUCAAGUCAUCAUGGCCCUUACGGCCUGGGCUACACACGUGCUACAAUGGUCGGUACAGAGGGUUGCCAAGCCGCGAGGUGGAGCUAAUCCCAUANAACCGAUCGUAGUCCGGAUCGCAGUCUGCAACUCGACUGCGUGAAGUCGGAAUCGCUAGUAAUCGCGAAUCAAAUGUCGCGGUGAAUAC